RNAcentral lists this transfer RNA (77 nucleotides) under Candidatus Peregrinibacteria bacterium CG08_land_8_20_14_0_20_41_10. RNAcentral's name for it is "tRNA-Asp". It matches the Rfam family "tRNA". From Rfam's summary of the family: Transfer RNA (tRNA) molecules are approximately 80 nucleotides in length. Their secondary structure includes four short double-helical elements and three loops (D, anti-codon, and T loops). Lineage: Bacteria; Candidatus Peregrinibacteriota. The record is from RNAcentral.
GGGGUGGUAGUUCAGCUGGUUAGAACGCCUGCCUGUCACGCAGGAGGUCACGGGUUCAAAUCCCGUCCAUCCCGCCA